GGGAAAGGAGAUUGUUGGGGCGAUAUUAAAGAAACUGAGACUUCACCAGCGAGUCUGGGAAGGCUGUUUUGUGGAAUGAGCGAUGUGGGCAGUUGUAAUUGCUUCUUUUUUGCCUCUAGCUAUGUUAAACACACACAGUCUCUUCAUGGGGGAGGAAUGUCAGCAGCUGGGAAUGCUGAAGCUGCAGGGAACUAAGUGUUUCCUGGGACUAAUUUGUGGGGUGGAGCCCUGAGACACCCAUGUUGAAGAGGCUGGAGUCCAUUUUGGAUUGAAGGGACUUGGCUUCUAGAAAAGAAUGUCUGAACUGAGUUGGCAAACUUAUAGCUUGAGGACUUAUAGCCUGAGGACCUGCUGACUGGGUUUUGUGUGACAGUUCCCAGCUGUCUUACUUUUGUGCUGUGUCAUAAGAACAGCGUGGUCCAAACAGGGUGAUUGUUCGGCUUGAGUCCUGGAAGAAGAAAACACACGAAGCAGAGUGAUAUCAACCAACCUACUACCACACAA
Long non-coding RNA from Heterocephalus glaber (naked mole-rat), 504 nucleotides. NCBI's taxonomy places the organism in Eukaryota, Metazoa, Chordata, Mammalia, Rodentia, Bathyergidae. The record is from Ensembl.